CCUACGGGUGGCAGCAGUGAGGAAUAUUGGUCAAUGGGCGCGAGCCUGAACCAGCCAAGUAGCGUGAAGGAUGACUGCCCUACGGGUUGUAAACUUCUUUUAUAAAGGAAUAAAGUGAGGCACGUGUGCCUUUUUGUAUGUACUUUAUGAAUAAGGAUCGGCUCACUCCGUGCCAUCAGCCGCGGUAAUACGGAGGAUCCGAGCGUUAUCCGUAUUUCUUGGGUUUAAAGGGAGCGUAGGUGGGUUGUUAAGUCAGUUGGGAAAGUUUGCGGCUCAACCGUAAAAUUGCAAUUGAUACUGGCAGUCUUGAGUACAGAUGAGGUAGGCGGAAUGCGUGGUGUAGCGGUGAAAUGCUUAGAUAUCACGAAGAACACCGAUUGCGAAGGCAGCUUACUAAACUGCCACUGACAUUGAUGCUCGAAAGUGUGGGUAUCAAACAGGAUUAGAUACCCUAGUAGUC
Molecule: ribosomal RNA, 460 nt
Filed under: uncultured bacterium
Lineage: Bacteria
Description: partial 16S ribosomal RNA
Rfam family: Bacterial small subunit ribosomal RNA
Source: RNAcentral